UAAACUGAAGAGUUUGAUCAUGGCUCAGAUUGAACGCUGGCGGCAGGCCUAACACAUGCAAGUCGAGCGUGAAAGCACUUCGGUGUGAGUAGAGCGGCGGACGGGUGAGUAACGCGUAGAAAUCUACCUAGUAGUGGGGGACAACCUGGUGAAAACCAGGCUAAUACCGCAUACGUCCUACGGGAGAAAGCGGGGGAUCUUCGGACCUCGCGCUAUUAGAUGAGUCUGCGUAAGAUUAGCUAGUUGGUGGGGUAAAAGCCUACCAAGGCGACGAUCUUUAGCUGGUCUGAGAGGACGAUCAGCCACACUGGAACUGAGACACGGUCCAGACUCCUACGGGAGGCAGCAGUGGGGAAUAUUGCACAAUGGGCGAAAGCCUGAUGCAGCCAUGCCGCGUGUGUGAAGAAGGCUCUAGGGUUGUAAAGCACUUUCAGUAG
Molecule: ribosomal RNA, 437 nt
Filed under: Cellvibrionales bacterium
Lineage: Bacteria; Pseudomonadati; Pseudomonadota; Gammaproteobacteria; Cellvibrionales
Description: bacterial SSU rRNA
Rfam family: Bacterial small subunit ribosomal RNA
Source: RNAcentral